GACGAACGCUGGCGGCGUGCUUAACACAUGCAAGUCGAACGGAAAGGCCCUGCUUUUGUGGGGUGCUCGAGUGGCGAAAGGGUGAGUAACACGUGAGUAACCUGCCCUUGACUUUGGGAUAACUUCAGGAAACUGGGGCUAAUACCGGAUAGGAGCUCCUGCUGCAUGGUGGGGGUUGGAAAGUUUCGGCGGUUGGGGAUGGACUCGCGGCUUAUCAGCUUGUUGGUGGGGUAGUGGCUUACCAAGGCUUUGACGGGUAGCCGGCCUGAGAGGGUGACCGGCCACAUUGGGACUGCGAUACGGCCCAGACUCCUACGGGAGGCAGCAGUGGGGAAUAUUGCACAAUGGGCGGAAGCCUGAUGCAGCAACGCCGCGUGCGGGAUGACGGCCUUCGGGUUGUAAACCGCUUUCGCCUGUAACGAAGCGUGAGUGACGGUAAUGGGUAAAGAAGCACCGGCUAACUACGUG
Molecule: ribosomal RNA, 468 nt
Filed under: uncultured bacterium
Lineage: Bacteria
Description: partial 16S ribosomal RNA
Rfam family: Bacterial small subunit ribosomal RNA
Source: RNAcentral